This 460-nucleotide ribosomal RNA is filed under the name uncultured bacterium. Its description in RNAcentral is "partial 16S ribosomal RNA". It matches the Rfam family "Bacterial small subunit ribosomal RNA", at positions 338 to 795 of the family's 1533-position model. The record is from RNAcentral.
CCUACGGGUGGCAGCAGUGAGGAAUAUUGGUCAAUGGGCUUACGCCUGAACCAGCCAAGUCGCGUGAGGGAAGACUGCCCUAUGGGUUGUAAACCUCUUUUGUCAGGGAGCAAAGCCGGCUACGCGUAGCCGGACUGAGAUUACCUGAAAAAAAAGCUCCGGUUAACGCCGUGCCAGCAGCCGCGGUAAUACGGAGGAUGCGAGCGUUAUCCGGUUUUUUGGGGUUUAAAGGGUGCGGAGGGGGAAUGCCAAGUCAGCGGUAAAAUCGCGGGGCUCAACCUCGCUCCGCCGUUGAAACUGGCGUUCUUGAGUGGGCGAGAAGUAUGCGGAAUGCGUGGUGUAGCGGUGAAAUGCAUAGAUAUCACGCAGAACUCCGAUUGCGAAGGCAGCAUACCGGCGCCCAACUGACGCUGAAGCACGAAAGCGUGGGUAUCGAACAGGAUUAGAUACCCGAGUAGUC